GGCUGAUGCAAAGUGAAGAAAGGCCAUGGAAGAAGAAUAUAUGGUACUUCAGAAAAAUAAGACAUGGCAUCUUGUUCCUCCAAGGAAAGGGAUUGAGGUUAAGAAACAUGGAGAUGGCCUUCACUUAUCUCAAGAAAAAUAUGCCACAGAUUUGGUAAGAAGGGUUGGGUUGCAAGGAUGCAAACCUUCAUCAACUCCCUUGUCUAGCACAGAAAAAUUGUCACUUGCAGAAGGAGAUCUUGAAUCAAGAGGACAACACUAGGUACAGGAGUCUGGUGGGGGCACUUCAAUACUUGACUCUCACGAGACCUGAUAUCUCUUUUGCUGUUAACAAAGUAUGUCAAUUUCUUCAUGCACCCACUACUGCUCAUUGGACUGCUACUAAACGGAUAGUAAGAUACAUUAAAAAUACUAUGAAUGUUGGCCUAACCUUCAACAAGUCUUCAUCCACACUUGUCAGUGCUUUUUCAGACUCUGACUGGGCAGGCUGUCCAGAUGAUAGACGUUCCACUGGUGGGUUUGCUGUCUUCUUUGGACCUAACCUUAUUUCAUGGUGUGCAAGGAAGCAUGCUACUGUCUCUAGAUCCAGUACAGAGGGAGAAUAUAAGGCAUUAGCUAAUGCCACUGCAGAGAUUAUCUGGAUACAGUCUAUGUUAAAAGAAGUUGGUGUAAAAUGCACUCAGGCUCUGUGUUUGUGGUGUGAUAAUUUUAGUGCCACAUACUUAUCUGCUAACCCAGUGUUUCAUGCAAGGACAAAACACAUUGAGAUAGAUUUCCACUUUGUUAGAGAAAGAGUUGCAAAUCGACAGUUGAAAAUCCGUUUUGUGCAUUCACGAGACCAAGUGGCUGAUAGCUUUACUAAGGCUCUACUGACAAGGAAUUUUGAGGAAUUUAAACGUAAUCUCAACUUAACAAAGUUGUGAUUAAGGGAGAGUGUUAAACACAGUUUAUCUAUACCUGGAACGUGGGAACUAUAACACGUAUCCAGGGUAGUUUCAGUUUAACUUUUGGUCUAUUAGAGAUAGAACCGAACUCCUUUAUCUCCCAUUAUCUUGAUCUCUCUCGAUCCUUGCCGUGUACUCCAAGUUUGUAUGCCUCUCAGGGAUCGGGCCCCUGCUAUAUAACACGCAACCGCCUGCCAGAUCAAGGCACGGCGCUUCCAGCUA
Molecule: long non-coding RNA, 1166 nt
Organism: Hordeum vulgare subsp. vulgare (domesticated barley)
Lineage: Eukaryota; Viridiplantae; Streptophyta; Magnoliopsida; Poales; Poaceae
Exons: 2
Source: RefSeq, a predicted model, not a curated record